Acomys russatus (golden spiny mouse) is the source of this 132-nucleotide small nucleolar RNA. RefSeq annotates it as small nucleolar RNA SNORA17. NCBI's taxonomy places the organism in Eukaryota, Metazoa, Chordata, Mammalia, Rodentia, Muridae. The record is from RefSeq and is a predicted model, not a curated record. The transcript has a single exon.
ACUGCCCUUAGAGGCAAUGCAGGUGUGGCUGCUGUGUCACAUGAGUGUCAGUAGGUGGCAGAGAGGAGAGAGGUUACUUCUGUGCUCAGGGUUCUGACCUGGGAACACCUGAAUGCUGGGUAGCCUAAAACU